Molecule: long non-coding RNA, 277 nt
Organism: Nannospalax galili (Upper Galilee mountains blind mole rat)
Lineage: Eukaryota; Metazoa; Chordata; Mammalia; Rodentia; Spalacidae
Exons: 3
Source: RefSeq, a predicted model, not a curated record
CAGAUCUGUAGGUAUGUUGGUGAGUCAGCCGAGCUCUGCUGUGAGGACCAGCGAUGGGGAGAGCGUCAUGAGACCAGCCAGUAAAAUUCCACUACUCCCUGGAGCCUAGUGGGAGACUGUAAGCUCUUGAGGGAUACGAGUACUUGUCAAUGUCUUCAACUCCCAGUCAGUUUUGAACAAGCCCCUCCUCUUUCACGUCACACUGUAGUCUGCAGUUAGCUGGUCCUGACUACCAGGCACACAGUGGGCAUCAGUGUCAACUUGACUGGAUCUGGGA